CCUACGGGCGGCAGCAGUGGGGAAUAUUGGACAAUGGGGGGAACCCUGAUCCAGCCAUGCCGCGUGUGUGAAGAAGGCCCUCGGGUUGUAAAGCACUUUCAGUGAGGAAGAACGCCUGGUGGUUAAUACCCAUCAGGAAAGACAUCACUCACAGAAGAAGCACCGGCUAACUCCGUGCCAGCAGCCGCGGUAAUACGGAGGGUGCGAGCGUUAAUCGGAAUUACUGGGCGUAAAGCGCGCGUAGGUGGCUUGAUAAGCCGGUUGUGAAAGCCCCGGGCUCAACCUGGGAACGGCAUCCGGAACUGUCAGGCUAGAGUGCAGGAGAGGAAGGUAGAAUUCCCGGUGUAGCGGUGAAAUGCGUAGAGAUCGGGAGGAAUACCAGUGGCGAAGGCGGCCUUCUGGACUGACACUGACACUGAGGUGCGAAAGCGUGGGUAGCAAACAGGAUUAGAUACCCGUGUAGUC
This 465-nucleotide ribosomal RNA is filed under the name Vreelandella stevensii. RNAcentral's name for it is "partial 16S ribosomal RNA". It matches the Rfam family "Bacterial small subunit ribosomal RNA", at positions 338 to 795 of the family's 1533-position model. The record is from RNAcentral. Lineage: Bacteria; Pseudomonadati; Pseudomonadota; Gammaproteobacteria; Oceanospirillales; Halomonadaceae.